AUGCGAUAAGUAAUGUGAAUUGCAGAAUUCAGUGAAUCAUCGAAUCUUUGAACGCACCUUGCGCUCCCUGGUAUUCCGGGGAGCACGCCUGUUCGAGUGUCACGAAAUUUGUCAAGCUUGGAUGGCCUUUUUUGUCUGUCCAUUAGCCUUGGUUGUUGGGCUUUUGCCGUGUCCUUCAUUGGGACGGCUAGCCUUAAAAGCAUUAGCUGAUCCUUGCGUGGCACUGGUUCUACUCAGCGUGAUAAUACAUCUGAUCGCUGAGGACAUCUUUCAGGAUGGCCAGUCCUCAUUUGGGUUGCUUCUAAACCUGGUUAUGCGGAUUCUUGAAUCUGUGUUCCACUUUUCAGCUUUGACCUCGAAUCAGGUGGGACUACCCGCUGAACUUAA
RNAcentral lists this ribosomal RNA (387 nucleotides) under uncultured Clavulina. RNAcentral describes it as "eukaryotic LSU rRNA". The stretch from base 1 to 102 matches the Rfam family "5.8S ribosomal RNA", at positions 53 to 154 of the family's 154-position model. The record is from RNAcentral. Lineage: Eukaryota; Fungi; Basidiomycota; Agaricomycetes; Cantharellales; Hydnaceae.